CCUCAGGUACUGAGGAGUCCUUGUGGAAUUCCCCUUUGGAGUUGAGAGUUUCACAAGUUGUACAAUCACAAGGAGGGCACCUGUCUCUAAAUUCUAUGGCAGUACUGGCUGUGCCUGAGAAACCUCCUGCCACUCAAGCCCAGCAAGUCUUAUGAAGCAAGCUGCCUACAGAGAUGUCCAUGUGUCAGGAAACUGAAGCUGGCUCAUGGUCAGCAGCCAGCAAGCUACAAAGGGCUUCCAACAGCCCAUAAAGCACUGAGUCCUGCCAAAAGCCACGUGCAUGAGCUUAGAAGAGCUUCAUCCUCCAGGCUAGGAAAGAGACAGUCAGUGUGCAGCAAGAGAAAAGAGAGGAGGAAACAUGUGGAAAGACCCAAAGAAUGAAGACACAAGAGCAUGUCUGAAUGCAGUGGGAAGUAGAUCAGUUGACCUUUGCUGAAUAACAAGUGGACCUAAAACUGGGUGACUUGAAACAGCCCAUAAUCCUGUGGACCUAAAGGAUGAUGUAUGAAGUGGACAUGAUGAUGUUGUUCAUGAUCUGCCUACCUCAUAUGGUGGAAGCAAAAAAUCAAGUGAGAUUACAUAUGUUAAAAGACUCCAUUGUAGGUGCAGAACACACUUUAUUUACAUAGUUAACCAUUUAUCUUUCUGUCAGCCUUCUAGUUUCUUUUUUUGUAUAAAAGCUUCCCAGAUGUCCCUAGACCAUUUCAAAACCUUGUAGAUCUACUAAGUAAGUUCAUUUAUUGAUGCAAAAAAUGUUUAUUGUACACCCCUACAUCUCAGGCACUGGCGAUUUUGUACAAACAAUACAGAUGAGAUUCAGGCUGUCAUGGAACCUACGUUCUAGUAGGGUGUCCACAGGCACUAUACAAACUAGAAAAUAAUUGAGCAGAUUAAGCAAAAUAAGUUCAGAUAUAGUCAAUUUCUAGGAAGAAAAUAAAAAAAAAAAGGGAUGUGACAGAAACUGACCUAUAUGAGUUGUCCUAGAGGCAGUGGUGAAGACAAAAAUCAUUCAGAACAAGUGCUCCUGAAGUUGAGACCCAAAUGAUGGGAAGGAUGAACAAAGUUGGGGUGUUUAAGGCACAGCAGGAAGGCCAGUGAGCAAGAGAGAUGGAGGUCACAGUGGAAGUCAGAGAGGAAGGCAGGAUCAGGGAAGACUUUGCGGGCCAGGUCAAAAGUUUCUAUUUGAUUUCAAGAGGAAAAAAGAGGCAUUGGAGGGAUUUAAGCAAAGGUGCCAUGACACAAUGGGGAUAUUGAACAAUCCCCUUUUGCUUUGACUGUUUCAUAGAUGGUGAAUAAUGAUGGGGCCAGAGUAGAAACAAAGGCAGUGAGAUUAAUUUGGAGGCACUCUUAUACACACAUGAGAGAUGGUUCUAGCUUGAACUAGGUGUAACAGUGAUGACGUCAGCACAUAGGGUCUAAUAUUUGUAAGAGAUCUUUUGAGGUAAGGUAUAAACCUCCACCUUGACUGUUACAUCUUUACCAUCAGAAACCAUGUCGGAUACUUCCUUCUACCUCCUUAUAAGCAUUUUUGUGCAUGAGUCAAUAAUGAAAAUAAAAAAUGCAUUUCCAGAUGAAUUUUAUACCCCCAACCCCCAAAGCUCUGCUUUCUAUUUCAACAGAUACUUAGAUCUUAGACUUUGGCAGAGGUGUACAUUUUGAGAAAAAGCAGAAGCAAAAAUUAACACGUCUAGUGUGAAAUGCAUUGCCGCUGUUUCAUUUCUCCUCCCUCAACAGAGCACUGCAUGCCACACUCAUUUUAGAGAUGAUCAGCUUUUUUUUUUUUCUUUGUGAUCUUGCCAAAUUGCAUUAGUUUCUAUAUUUAUCUCUUUUCCUCCCCUGGGAUUGACUCUUAAUGAUACAUUUGGGGAAUAGCUCCACCCUCUCUUCCUACAUUCCCUGCUAACCCUCUGUGUGUGCUUUUGAGGCACUAAAUUUAUGCUGUCUCUCUGUGUAGCACUGUGUAGUUUUGGACAUAUCAUUCCCUAACUGGGUUUCGUCUCAUCACAAAAUGUAUCAGUCACCCUAACUUUUCAUUAAGGGGUCAAGGAGGCAGAUGUUCCUCUGGGACUUGUUUUGUUGCAUAACUGUCAAACUGUAGGCGUUAGGAAUGGGAGGUACAGAGGGAGUGUAAGAGCUCUGAACCCCCAUAGACACCAUGCUUUGUCUCCAGAC
Gorilla gorilla gorilla (western lowland gorilla) is the source of this 2172-nucleotide long non-coding RNA. RefSeq lists it as uncharacterized. The transcript is spliced from 6 exons. NCBI's taxonomy places the organism in Eukaryota, Metazoa, Chordata, Mammalia, Primates, Hominidae. The record is from RefSeq and is a predicted model, not a curated record.